This 478-nucleotide ribosomal RNA is filed under the name uncultured bacterium. Its description in RNAcentral is "partial 16S ribosomal RNA". It matches the Rfam family "Bacterial small subunit ribosomal RNA", at positions 28 to 523 of the family's 1533-position model. The record is from RNAcentral.
GACGAACGCUGGCGGCGUGCUUAACACAUGCAAGUCGAACGGUAAGGCCCUUCGGGGUACACGAGUGGCGAACGGGUGAGUAACACGUGGGUGAUCUGCCCUGCACUUCGGGAUAAGCCUGGGAAACUGGGUCUAAUACCGGAUAGGACUCCGGACUGCAUGGUCUGGGGUGGAAAGCUUUUGCGGUGUGGGAUGGGCCCGCGGCCUAUCAGCUUGUUGGUGGGGUGAUGGCCUACCAAGGCAACGACGGGUAGCCGGCCUGAGAGGGUGUCCGGCCACACUGGGACUGAGAUACGGCCCAGACUCCUACGGGAGGCAGCAGUGGGGAAUAUUGCACAAUGGGCGCAAGCCUGAUGCAGCGACGCCGCGUGGGGGAUGACGGCCUUCGGGUUGUAAACCUCUUUCAGCACUGACGAAGCGCAAGUGACGGUAUGUGCAGAAGAAGGACCGGCCAACUACGUGCCAGCCGCCGCCGUAA